GUAGCAUUGGAAAUUACUUCAGCAACACUCUUUCCAAUACAUAAUAGCUCAUUCAUCAAAGUUUUGGUUACAUCAGCUGAAGCAAAAAGAAAAAGAAUUUGUUAUAUGGUCCUAGUUCAAGUCUUCAGAAUGUCACAGGUUGCAAAACAACUCAAGUCUUCAGAUUCUCUGGUCAUGCAGCUUGUUAAACAUAUCAAGUUGUAACCAGAAGAUACAGAAGGCCCUUUAGAUACUCCACUAUUUCAG
This 246-nucleotide unclassified non-coding RNA is filed under the name Hevea brasiliensis (rubber tree). The record is from RNAcentral. Lineage: Eukaryota; Viridiplantae; Streptophyta; Magnoliopsida; Malpighiales; Euphorbiaceae.